CAGCCGCCGCGGGAAUACGAAGGGGGCUAGCGUUGUUCGGAUUUACUGGGCGUAAAGAGCGCGUAGGCGGACUGAUAAGUCAGGGGUAAAAUCCCGAGGCUCAACCUUGGAACUGCCUUUGAUACUGUUUGUCUUGAGUUCGAGAGAGGUAAGUGGAACUGCGAGUGUAGAGGUGAAAUUCGUAGAUAUUCGCAAGAACACCAGUGGCGAAGGCGGCUUACUGGCUCGAAACUGACGCUGAGGCGCGAAAGCGUGGGGAGCAAACAGGAUUAGAUACCCCCGUAGUCCCUGUCUCUUAUAC
Molecule: ribosomal RNA, 301 nt
Filed under: uncultured bacterium
Lineage: Bacteria
Description: partial 16S ribosomal RNA
Rfam family: Bacterial small subunit ribosomal RNA
Source: RNAcentral